This 600-nucleotide ribosomal RNA is filed under the name Triticum aestivum (bread wheat). RNAcentral's name for it is "partial small subunit ribosomal RNA". Lineage: Eukaryota; Viridiplantae; Streptophyta; Magnoliopsida; Poales; Poaceae. The record is from RNAcentral.
AUGCUGAUGAAGUUUUUUGCUAUGGCUGAUGUAGCAGAGAUUAUGAAAAUCAAGACCUCACCAAGUUCAGAGGAUGUGUUAGCUUGGGCGCCUGGAAGGUUUGGUCAGUUUUCUGUCAAAAGUGCUUACGAUUUGGGCUUCGAAGAGGCUCAUAGAGAAAGUGAUGUAUCUUCAAGUAGUAUGCCAUCUGGGGCACGCUCGUGUUGGAACUAUAUUUGGUCUUGCAAAAUUCCACCAACGGUUCGCAACUUUGGGUGGCGCGUGGCCACUAAUUCUCUGCCUACUUGGCAGAGGAAGAACAGAAUUGGGAUUGAAACUACUGGAGUAUGCCCAAUAUGCGCAAGAGAAGUAGAGGAUACUUUCCAUCCUUUCAUGGUUUGCCCCGUGGAUCGGCAACUUUACAAAAAGAUGGCAACGGUGUGGAAUUUACCAGAGUUGCGUUCUGUGGUGAACUCUGGGAAAGAAUGGCUCCUUCGGGCUUUGGAACCGUUGGAUCACCUUGCAAGAUGUAAGCUACUAAUGACCCUGUGGAGAAUCUGGUAUGUUUGUAAUGAAAUUAUACAUAAUAAACCAGCCCCUCCACUUGAUGUCUCCGCUUGA